This is a long non-coding RNA of Pseudonaja textilis, 855 nucleotides long. RefSeq lists it as uncharacterized. The record is from RefSeq and is a predicted model, not a curated record. NCBI's taxonomy places the organism in Eukaryota, Metazoa, Chordata, Lepidosauria, Squamata, Elapidae.
UAAUUUACCAUCCCAUAAUAGACGAGCUGGCCAUUGUCCCCGGGACAAGGGUGAGGAUUGGACCAGAGUGUGGGAAACGCCAAGGCUGGUCGAACCCAGGCUUUUGAAUGCCACCGCCGGGGUAUAAAGAGACGCUCUCCGUUUCCCCCACCGCACUUAACAAGCCAGGGAUUGGCUUGGAAUGCUGGCUUGUGCAGGCUGUGCAGCCUUCUCCCAGGACACCCCAAAGGAAAAGAGCCUUAGCCAGGAUGGAUGAAGGGAAACCAUGAUGACACAGAAGCCAGCAUGGGAAAGAAGGAUGACAAAACGACUUCUGCAGACACCACUUUGAAUCUGAGAGGCUGAGCCCCCAAAAUACAGCCAUGGAAGAACAUUUUCUACCCGAAACCAGGAGGGCAGCAUCUUCUCAGCAAGGAAUUUGCAGAUCCCACCUCUCCGCUCGACCGAGUCUUAAAUCUUUGCCUCAAUCUUACGGCGAUGCUUAUCAAGAAUACAGCGGCUUCUCCAGAAGGGAUCAACUCAGAAGGAGAACAUCAAGGCUGGAAGGGUUUUUGGACUGAAGGAGUGGGUGGGAUUUUCUUGGACCCCUGUCAGAAAAUCCAUUUUCGUUUUUUUUUUUUUUUGCUGGAUUUAGCAAAGAUACGAGCAGUUCGGUUGGCCUUAACUGUGCCUGGCUAGUAUGAAUCGGGGUUAUAGGUUUUGGGGUUUUUUUCCCCCAUUCUUUAGUAUGUCUGGUAAACCCAGGGGUUGAAAUUAAAAUGUCAGGAUUAAGCUUUCGUCCUUCAUUUCCGUUUUCCUCCCUCUCUUCCUCCCUUCCCAUUUCCUUCCUUCCUUUCCUAUUUUCCUUCUUCCCUU